CUCCUCCCGUCCAGUGUCCACCUGAUACUGCUGGCAUGGCCAAGCUAAAGAAAAGGACCAUAAAAGCGCCAUUAACACCAACUUUACUACCGCCAAUCCCCCCUAUGCCUUCUUCACCUGUCUCUGGACCUGUACAGUUCCAAGUGAUAGUGACACCACCACUGCCCACAACCAUGGUACCAACUGUACAGCCAGGACAGAAGAGGAAAGCUGUGGAUGCAGGGAUGGUAAAGAAAAGAAAAACCGCAACUGUCAAGUGCCAUAAGUGUGGAGAAGAGAGAACACCUCCCACUCACCAACAGUACAUGGGCUUCAGAUACUGUGGAAAGACAGAGACAACAUCCUUUGAUGAAUGGAGGGCAAGUUGAAAAAAAGGGCCAGGAAAAGGAAAGGACCACAGUAGAGCCAUGUGAAGUCUGCAGAAGGGCAGCCAGUUUCCACAGUAGAGCCUCCUCAGUCAUCUGUUGUUAAAAGACUCCAUCCACUUAUUUGGCCAAGUUAGACAAUCCUGAUUCUAAUGCAGACAUUCCAGUCCCCAUGGUCAGAAGCUCUUCAAUCAGGUGAAACACCAGGAACAACAGACGAAACUGUACCAUCAAAGGAUGACAGUACUAUGAUAGUCACAGACAAAACUGCAGCAAAAACAGGUCAGCAUGUUAGCAAAACUGGAUGAAUACAAACACCUGGAACUUGGCCAUAGACUUCUACAGUAAAACCAUACAGUCAUAUAGAGUUUGGAACUUCACUCUCAGACCAAGGGGGAUAACUCCAUAUUGAUUGAGAUCAUGGACACCUGUCAUCACUGAAACUUUACAACUUUAUUUGGAAUCAUCUUCACUUUUGAAAAAACAGAUGAACCAGUUGUCUGAUUACUGAUGAUCCUGGAGUUACAUAUCACCCAACCCACCUUAGACUGUAGUAUUACAGAGUGUCCGAUACCAUGAUUCCCUAUGUGUGGGCUCUAGCGGGGACGUUCCUGUGCCAGGGUCAUAUAAAGACGUGCCAGGUUUUGGAGUUGGAGGAAAGCUUUUUUAAGAGUACCCAGAUAAAAACCACUGGUCUACGGUCAGUACCGGGCAACUUCCCUGUGUGGGUUUUGAACUCGCAACCCAGAGGUGGAGGGCUUAGUGAUAAUUUGUCAGGACAACUUAACCACUCGGCCACCAAAGGUAUAGGAGAUCCAUUGGUUGUGGGAGUCAUAUGUGGAAAGCUAGAUCCUGAUGACAGUAUUUGAAGUCUGAUGUGGCAUAUUUCAUCUUAAGCAUAAUUACUGCUGCUGCUGGAAUGGAUGUGUUUUCAACUGUUUAAUUUACACAUU
This is a long non-coding RNA of Pecten maximus, 1318 nucleotides long. RefSeq lists it as uncharacterized. The record is from RefSeq and is a predicted model, not a curated record. Lineage: Eukaryota; Metazoa; Mollusca; Bivalvia; Pectinida; Pectinidae. The transcript is spliced from 7 exons.